This 75-nucleotide ribosomal RNA is filed under the name butyrate-producing bacterium. RNAcentral's name for it is "partial 16S ribosomal RNA". It matches the Rfam family "Bacterial small subunit ribosomal RNA", at positions 1 to 75 of the family's 1533-position model. The record is from RNAcentral.
UAACAUGAGAGUUUGAUCCUGGCUCAGGAUGAACGCUGGCGGCGUGCCUAACACAUGCAAGUCGAACGAGGUAUU